CAUAAGCUGCUGUGUUGGUGACUGCCAACAAAGUUUUUUGAUCUUGCUUUGAAAAAACGGGAGCUAUCAACGUGUUUCGUGGUAGUAAACUGAGCUUGUACUCAGAAACGAAAGCAGAAACCAUUAGCACCCACCUGGUUAACCCCAGGUCAUAAACUGAGGUAAAACGGCACGGCAGUGUUUCC
This 185-nucleotide non-coding RNA is filed under the name Woronichinia naegeliana WA131. RNAcentral's name for it is "6S RNA". It matches the Rfam family "6S / SsrS RNA". Rfam says of the family: E. coli 6S RNA was the first non coding RNA to be sequenced, but its function was unknown until recently. It consists of 184 nucleotides that fold into an extended hairpin structure with a large single-stranded internal bulge. The record is from RNAcentral. Lineage: Bacteria; Bacillati; Cyanobacteriota; Cyanophyceae; Synechococcales; Coelosphaeriaceae.